This 331-nucleotide unclassified non-coding RNA is filed under the name soil metagenome. RNAcentral describes it as "partial contains 5.8S ribosomal RNA, internal transcribed spacer 2, and large subunit ribosomal RNA". The stretch from base 1 to 120 matches the Rfam family "5.8S ribosomal RNA", at positions 35 to 154 of the family's 154-position model. The record is from RNAcentral.
GAUGAAGAACGUAGCGAAAUGCGAUAAGUAAUGUGAAUUGCAGAAUUCAGUGAAUCAUCGAAUCUUUGAACGCACAUUGCGCCCCCUGGUAUUCCGGGGGGCAUGCCUGUUCGAGCGUCAUUACACCACUCAAGCCUCGCUUGGUAUUGGGCAACGCGGUCCGCCGCGUGCCUCAAAUCGACCGGCUGGGUCUUCUGUCCCCUAAGCGUUGUGGAAACUAUUCGCUAAAGGGUGUUCGGGAGGCUACGCCGUAAAACAACCCCAUUUCUAAGGUUGACCUCGGAUCAGGUAGGGAUACCCGCUGAACUUAAGCAUAUCAAUAAGCGGAGGA